GUGGGCGUAGCUCAGUUGGUUAGAGCGUCGGGUUGUGGCCCCGGAGGCCGAGGGUUCAAGUCCCUCCGCUCACCCCA
RNAcentral lists this transfer RNA (77 nucleotides) under Thermodesulfobacteriota bacterium. Its description in RNAcentral is "tRNA-His". It matches the Rfam family "tRNA". Rfam says of the family: Transfer RNA (tRNA) molecules are approximately 80 nucleotides in length. Their secondary structure includes four short double-helical elements and three loops (D, anti-codon, and T loops). The record is from RNAcentral. Lineage: Bacteria; Pseudomonadati; Thermodesulfobacteriota.